RNAcentral lists this ribosomal RNA (774 nucleotides) under Verruconis thailandica. RNAcentral describes it as "partial large subunit ribosomal RNA". It matches the Rfam family "Eukaryotic large subunit ribosomal RNA", at positions 87 to 883 of the family's 3401-position model. Lineage: Eukaryota; Fungi; Ascomycota; Dothideomycetes; Venturiales; Sympoventuriaceae. The record is from RNAcentral.
CGGCGAGUGAAGCGGCAACAGCUCAAAUUUGAAAUCUGGCGUCUAGGGGUCCGAGUUGUAAUUUGCAGAGGGAGUCUCGGAUUUAGGAUCGGCCCAAGUGCCUUGGAACAGGAUACCAAAGAGGGUGAGAGUCCCGUAUCCGGCUGAUACCGACGUCCGUGUGAGACCCCUUCGACGAGUCGAGUUGUUUGGGAAUGCAGCUCUAAAUGGGUGGUAAAUUCCAUCUAAAGCUAAAUACUGGCCAGAGACCGAUAGCGCACAAGUAGAGUGAUCGAAAGAUGAAAAGCACUUUGAAAAGAGAGUCAAACAGUACGUGAAAUUGUUGAAAGGGAAGCGUAUGUGGGCAGACUUGACCGCGGGAUUCAGCUCGUCUUCUGGCGGGUGUACUUUCUCGUGGGCAGGCCAGCAUCGGUUUCGGGGGUAAGACAAAGGCGACAGGAAUGUGGCUCCCUUCGGGGCGUGUUAUAGCCUGUCGUGCAAUGUUACCACCUGGGACCGAGGACCGCGUUUUUACGAGGAUGCUGGCGUAAUGGCCUCAUACGGCCCGUCUUGAAACACGGACCAAGGAGUCUAACAUCUAUGCGAGUGUUUGGGUGUCAAGCCCGGGCGCGUAAUGAAAGUGAACGGAGGUGGGAGUCUUCGGACGCACCAUCGACCGAUCCCGAUGUCUUCGGAGGGAUUUGAGUACGAGCAUAGCUGUUGGGACCCGAAAGAUGGUGAACUAUGCGUGAAUAGGGUGAAGCCAGAGGAAACUCUGGUGGAGGCUCGCAGCGG